AAAACUGCGCGCGCCGAAAGACUAAGGUUUCCUUGGCGAUGUCAAUCAGCCAAGGGUUAGUCGGGCCUAAGGGAAUGGCGAAAGCCGCACCCGAUGGACAGCAGGUUAAUAUUCCUGCACUUUUGUAUGUUGCGAUGGAUGGACGAAGUGUAGUAUGCAUUGCUCAUUAUUGGAUUUGAAGUUAGUAGCGUCAGAAUGUUGUGUAGGUAAAUCCGCACACUGAGUUAAAUCUCGAAUUCAAGCGUUACUAAAACCUGGAGAUUCGUCAAAGGGGAUUUUGCAAAGCACGCUUCCAAGAAAAACUUCUAAGUCCCGAUUUGAUUUAUCAAAUCGUGGAUCCCGACUCUGUAAUGGAGUCGGGACAUAAACAUAUAGAAACCGUACCGUAAACCGACACAGGUAGUCAGGUCGAGAAGACCAAGGCGAACGAGUGAGAUGUCCCCAAGGAACUCGGCAAAAAAGCGGCCGUACCUUCGGUAUAAGGCCUUCCCGAUGGUGUCGCAAGACGCCACAUUGGGACGCAGCUAAAGUAUCCCUGGCGACUGUUUAUCAAAAACACAGCUCCCUGCGAACUCGUAAGAGGAUGUAUAGGGGGUGACACCUGACCAAUGCCAGAAGGUCAAACAACGCCGUUGUGAGAAUCGCAAGAUUUUUAUGGUGAGUGUUGUAAGCCCUGGUGAAUGUCGGCAAUAACUAUAAUUGUCCUAAGGUUCUGAAAUUUUCUUCGGAAGAUUUCAGAAGGACUGGGACAGUUAUAGCGAUAAGCAGUUUGACAUAAGAAUUUGAGACAGUGAAAGUUAAUUACACCAAAAAGAAGCUACCUAAACUAAAGUAAUUUAGUUUUAGUCCAAACAUGGUUAACAAGCGCACCAACACCAUGCACCCGACUCGCGCAAGCGAAGGGUGAAGAUAGAGUCCGAGUUCAAGGAAUACUCGAGCGAAAUUCCUUGUCUGGUAAGUUCAGACGCGCACGAAUGGUGUAACGACUGGGGAACUGUCUCGGGGACUCGCUCGGUGAAAAUACAGUACCGGUGAAGAUGCCGGUUACCUGCAGUUAGACGAAAAGACCCCGGAAGCUUUACUGCAACUUGGCAUUGAGAAUAUGUUUGGACUGCGUAGCAUAGAUGGCAGACUUUGAAGCGUCGCUUUUGGGUGGCGUGGAGUCAACAGUGAAAUACCAUUCUUUCUUGACAUAUUUUCUAACCUCGCACGCAAAACGUGCAAGAGACAGUGCCUGGCGGGCAGUUUUAGUGGGGCGCUAUCCUUGAGCAUUUGAAAGACAACCCCACCCUGCCCUCCCCAAAAGGGAGGGUUCCAAAAGUCCUUACCCUUCGGGGAAGGAUUUAGGAUGGGGUGGUUUUCGAAUGUUCAAUCCGUGGCGCCUCCUAGGUGGUUCACGCCGAAAAAAAUAAAAAAGGGGGACCAUAUCGUCAGAUUAUUUUUUGGCGGUAUGAGAAAAGUUAGCUAUAUGCUGAGAAAUCUCUAUGAGAUAAUCAGCAGGGAAGAUUUGUAAACUUCAAUGUGGGAGAAAACAAAAGGAGAAAAUGAAAUGGGUGCAACCGAUGACGUAAAAUAUCAAUUAUCUCAAGCGAGAAGAGAACCUGGCGAGACUGAUGAAAAGUUAGCUCGCAGACUUUUUUACUUGCAAAUGGAGGUCUACUCAGCAAAUGCUGGGCGCGAUCUUUAUGAAGGUGGUGAUUUCGAGCGUCUCGAUCCACAAGUUCAAGAACAAUGGAUCGAAAAAGCAGGCAAAUACCAGUAGAGUCCUUUCUGGGCCAACCCCGUUGGCCCCAUAUUGAAGUUUACAAAAACCCUCAGAGACUAAACGCUAACCCGCGUCAGACGCGGAAGAUAUAGUCCGAACUUUGUGGCGACAUAAAGAGUGGUAAUAUUCCGUUAUUACCGAUUAACACAAUGCCUAAAGAGUAACGGAGGAGCCUAUUAAGGUCAGCUAGCUGUGAAUGGAAACCAUAGCGAUAGUGUAUAGGCACAAGCUGGCUUAACUGCAAGACGUACAUGUCACGCAGACACGAAAGUGGAGCUAAGUGAACCGAUCGUACGUGUUAGACGCGGCGAAGGAUUAUCGGACAAAAGCUACUCCGGGGAUAACAGGCUGGUACUGCCUAAGCGUCCAGAGCGACGGCAGUGUUCGGCACCUUAACUUUCAAUUUAAAUGUUGAGAACAUCGGGGUGCCUAUCGUAGUAAUGCGAUACAAAAACAAUUUGGCUUAUAUCGGUGGACUCCAUAAACAAGCGUUAUAUAAUUUGAUAUAAUUAGUAAUAUGGACAAUACCGAGGGAAGUCUAUCUCAAUUACAAAAGUCAUUCAUUAUCGGAACUCUUUUGGGAGACGGGUAUAUUCGUCAAGCAAAAGGAAGAAAGAAUGCAUUUCUAGAAGUUAAUCAUUCUAUAACUCAAAAAGAUUAUGUUGAAUGGAAAUACUCUGUCUUGAAAGAUUUAACACGAAGUGGUCCAAAGUCUCGAAAGGGAAAUGGUACACGAGUUGCGUAUAGAUUUUUUACAAAACAACAUCCUGAAUUUACUAAAAUGAUGGAUUUGUUUUACAAAGAUAAGAAGAAAUGUAUUCCUGAUCUAAAAUUAGAUCCAAUGAUAUUGGCAGUGUGGUUUAUGGAUGAUGGAAGUAGAUGUGGUGAAGAAAAUGUAUAUCUAAAUACCCAACAAUUUUCAAAAGAAGACCAAGAAAAGUUAUUGGAAUCUCUAAGGGAAAUUGGUUUAGAGGGAACUCUAAAUAAAGAUAAGCAGUAUUAUAGAAUUAGAUUUAAAACAUCAAGCAUCUCAAAAUUAUUUGGAAUAAUUGAAAAUAAUAUUAUUCCGUCCAUGAAAUAUAAAUUGGGUUAUGACCCCGUAGAGACUUAACCGUAAGUGGUUGGAGUGUGAAGCUAGACUUCAUGCUAAUACGCCGAACCCCUUCUUUAAAUUAAAGAAGGGUGAAGAUAUAGUCCGAUCCUUCCAGUAAUGGGAGAAAAUACGACAGCGAUGUCGGCUCAUCUUAUCCCGGGGGUGGAGAAGCUCCCAAGGGUAUGGCUGUUCGCCAUUUAAAAAGAUACGCGAGCUGGGUUCAGACCGUGGAGGAGUUGUAUCAUGUAGCAAUACAUAUCGCGACUUCUCCACAAUCUGAAUCCUCAGAGGGAAAAGAAAACUGUUAUAAAUUAAUUCGUCUUGUUAAAUGAAAAGUAGAUAAAUCAAAUCACGGCGGUCUAUUGUAGAAAUAUAAUAUGAUCAAGUCAAUUUAUAUCGGGAAAAUCCUUAAAGGAUAAUUCCGAGGGAAGUUUUGUUUUGCGAGAGGGGAAGGAAGAGUAAGCAAUCAGCCAACCAACGACGAUUUUUGUCGGGCUGUAUGUGGCUUGGACAACCAUGACCACGAGCCAUGGUACUUUCUCCUCAUUCUCUUGCAGAACAAAAUACCCGUAGAGACUAAACAUUGACGUUCCUGAAAGGGAAUAAGCUAUAGUCCAUUGCCACAAGUAAUUGUGGGGUUCCGCCUUCGCUAAAAGCUAUGGCGGACGAAGCAAGCGUGAGACAGGUUGGUCUCCUAUCUACUGCAGGCGUUGAUUCUUGAGGGGAUUUGACUCUAGUACGAGAGGACCGAGUUGAACUGACCUCUGGUGUGCCUGCUGUUCUGCCAAGAGCAUCGCAGGGUAGCUAAGUCGGGAAAGGAUAACCUCUGAAAGCAUAUAAGAGGGAAGCCAGCCCCAAGAUUAGGAAUCGUUAAGGAUCGUGAGAGAUGAUCACGUUGAUAGGCGCUAGGUGUAAGCACUGUAAAGUGUUGAGCCGAGGCGUACUAAUUUUCCGAUUCU
Molecule: ribosomal RNA, 3817 nt
Filed under: Candidatus Zambryskibacteria bacterium RIFCSPLOWO2_01_FULL_39_39
Lineage: Bacteria; Candidatus Zambryskiibacteriota
Description: partial 23S ribosomal RNA
Rfam family: Bacterial large subunit ribosomal RNA (bases 1-1468)
Source: RNAcentral